Dermochelys coriacea (leatherback sea turtle) is the source of this 2866-nucleotide RNA transcript. It is a transcript of the gene named CD48 antigen-like, with no coding region annotated. The transcript has 6 exons. The record is from RefSeq and is a predicted model, not a curated record. Lineage: Eukaryota; Metazoa; Chordata; Testudines; Dermochelyidae.
CCCAGUGUUCAUCUAAUGGUUGAGAAUGGCAGGGUGUGUCCUCCUAUGUGCUGCACUUCCCCCUGUAUUCACAGUUUAGAUUGCAUUGUUUCAGCUACAGGCAAAGAUGAGGACAUGGAGGUGAGACGCCCCUCUGUCCCAUUACUACUACUGAUCAGUUUCUUGGCAGGCAUCGUAAUUAUCCAAGCACCGACUCCCCGCCGCCUGGUGAAUGGGAUUCUGGGAGGAUCAGUCGUGCUAUCUGUGGAUCUAUCCCCCGGGAAAAAGGUGAAAGAAGUCGAAUGGAGCUUUAGUGCUGGGACAGGUGUGAUGAUCCAGCUGGCUGAAUUCAAUGGGGGGAAGUUUGAGCGACCCGAUGCCAGCGACAGAUUUCAACAGAGGCUAGAAAUGUACGAGACCGCACUGAGGAUCAGUGCUCUGGAGCUAAACGAUAGUGGAGUUUAUGAGGCCCGGAUUAAGAUAGUACCAGCAACUGUGGAGGAUCAGGCCUUUCUCCUCGUGGUCUAUGAGCCAGUGCCAGAGCCGGAGAUAAAGAGUCAUGCAGUCUCCAGCACCGCCGAUGGGUGCAAUGUCACUCUGCAGUGUCAGGUGUCUAGCAGGGAGAUUAACAUCUCCUGGACGAGAGGGAACCCGCCCCGAGACCUGAGCAAUUCCAAGCGGUACCAGCUGGCCCCUGAUGGCAGGAUCCUCCGCCUGUUUCUGCAGCCCAACCCCCCAAACGCUACCUUCAACUGCACGGCCAGCAACCCUGUCGACCAGAAGAGCAUCUCUUCUGACCUGCGGAGCAUCUGCCAAAGCAGAGUCUCAGACGCAAACGCAGCCAUGUGGAUGGGGCAUCUUUGUGUUGGGGUGAUCGUCGUCACAGCAGCUUGUGUCGGGAUGUGGCUAUGGAAGAAAAGGAGGAAAAAGCCAGUCAGCAGAGCUGCUGUCCCCACGGUCCCAGAGGAGGAAUGUCCUUCGGAGCCCCACUAUGCUGAGAUCAAGAGGAGGAGCCCUCCGGAGGGGAACGACCAUGUGAGUGCCCUUAGUGGGGAGUUAUCCCACAGUCUUCAGUUCUUCCUUAGGGCCCCGGCACCUCUAGUGGAAAGCAAAGCCAGGGCUGGGCUUAAUGAGUGAACAGCUUGUGGACUUGCAUCACACUGGCCCCAUGGCACCCCACAGCAGCACAUGGUCUCCUGGUCUUGGGGUGACCCGGCCAGCCCAAGCGGGCAAUCUGCAGCACCUCUGACUCUGAGCACCUCCGCUCUGGCCUUCGGGCCUUUCUACUUUGCUUGCAAUUUUUGUUUGAAAUUACCUGACACCUUGGUAACCACAGGAAAUUGCACUGACGGGACUGUGACCCUGCACAAUAUUAAUCAGCCUUGUUUGCUGGAGAGUGAAGCAGCAUCCUGAGCUGCAGCAAGAUGAUAUCGAACUUGCCAGCUAUUGUUUCCCUACAGAGAUAGCAGCUUCUGGUAAAUGACACACACCAGGAAGGGUGUCAGUCUCGCUCCUGUCUCCAGUCUGUUAUUUAUGUAUCCGUGUAUUUGAGUAACUCCCUUCUGCCUCCGAAACUCUCCCUGCUGUUUCAGAGAUAGGGGUUUCUUCUUCACUUCUUGUCCUAAACUGCAGUAAUUGCACUGAUGCCCUUGAAAGGGUCAAUUCAUCAGUUUUGCUGUGUGGUUGUUAAACAGCUGCCACACCCCCACCCCAGAGGUGGCUGCAUUUCAGAGCCGAACACGCGAUCCCUGUACUGUGUUGCUGUGUGAUACGAAACAGCUGCCACACCCCCACCCCAGAGGUGGCUGCAUUUCAGUAGUGGGCAAAAGUGGAAUUUCUACAUAAUUUAGAAUUUUUACGUAGGGAAAACUCCCACUGACAGCAGUAGGAGUUGCAGUGAGUGAGGACUGAGCAAACUCUGAGUAAAGAUCUAGCCCAGUAUGACUGACGGUAUUUCCCAUUGCCCACGAUUCCCCUUAGACACAAGAUCAUUGUUCCUCGAAGACAAAAAUGGUCUUAUUUAUUGUGUGUCUGGAAAGGGGAUAAAUGACUGUGACUCAUUGUUGAAUUCCCUCUUCAUUGAUCUAUGCAGCUACUGAAUUCAGGGACACACACCCAGCUCCUAAGGGCCUUCAGUGAAUGAAGAGCCAUUUCCAGUUCAGGCUAACUAACCAACAAAGACAGGACAACGAAUUCGUUUUCUUUUUCUUGUUCUCUUAGGACCCUGGCUGCCCGAGCGAGAGACCACUGGUCACCACCAUCUAUGAUCAGAUCCGAGUGGUCCCAGCUGGCCCCUCUGAGCAGCUCACCUAGGCCAGGAGCGCCAAGAAAAGUGUGUCGCUGAGACGGCAAAGUCCUGCAACAUCCCAAGAGGAGGUAGAGAGUGGGUGUGUUAUAUUGGGUUGGGAUCAUAUGUCACCUCUCGAGGGGGCAGCUGUGAGACCUUGGAGUUCACAAGACUCUGCUGAAAAUGUGCCAGACACGCAGGGCCUUUUGGGACAAGAAGUGGGAUGUGGAUUUCCCAAUGGAAUCCCAAGGGAUAGGUUCGUGCCAAUUCCCCCGACUCUGGAUCUGCAAAGCCCCCAGCUUUUCGAAGCUGCGCCCUGAGGAGUGGCUCAUUGCCUGCUGCAAACAUGUGAUGUGAGGCCAAGAAAGAAAAAGCUGAUCUGCCCAAUCUCUGCUCUGGUUCCAGAUCUAAGACAGACGAACUUGCAACCGCAGGGGGAAACCCAGUCAUGGGCUUUCAAGGACUGAACCUACCAGAGCCCGAUCUUGGGCCUGGAGCUGAGCUCUGGGAAGCUUUUGAGCUUGUGUCUAGGUUAUUCUGUUGUCUUCAUCUAUUUGCUCUGUAAUCUUUUACCUUAAGAAUAAAGGUGCUUGCCCAGCA